ACGCGAGUUGCUGGUCGCCCUGGGGGACAUCCAGUCCCAGGUUGCAGCGCCUGCGAGCGGCAGACUGGAGCACUCGUCCAACUGUGACACUGGAGGAUGGAGGAGCCCAGUAGCUGGAGGGACAAAGCUGUGUCCUUAGUAAAGGUGGUCCCCUAAAUUCCCUAUAGCAGAGUGACACUGGCUUCUGGAGACUGGGGACGCACUGAGGAUUCAUCAAUGCCAUGCAAGCUGAGCGCCUGGAGGAAGAGAGCUGUGAUGUCAGAUCCUUUGGAGGAGUGCAGCCCCACUUCAGUCACUCCAGAAGCUGACUAAUCUGUGUGUGACAGAAACUGGAGGGAUUUGCCAUCCGAUGGCACAGACUGGUCUCUUCCUUUGAUGCAGUGGCAUCCCUUGCCCCGAUGAUGCCUGUUGCUGGGAUCCUCGCCCCAAUCUUUGACAUAGGGUUGGCAGAGACUGCUCUCGUCAACUAGAAAUGUGACGAAUGGCUUCUGUUAGUGUUCCUUUUCCUCUUGUGAGCAGGACAGGCAAUUCAUUGCUGCUGGUUGCUACCCUUCUGGGUCUUGUUUUUAGAUUUUAGUUUGCCUCAUGAACCACUCAACCUGACCAGGGGUCAUCAGGAAGACUUGACUUUAUCACACCCACUUCACUGGCCCAGGAAAGGUCUUAGGGGCCUACAGACAUAGUAAGACCACCUAUUCCAUCUGCCAACUGGGAGAUCAAUACACCUGUUUUGACCUAUAGUACUCCCCCAUUGAGAAGUACAUAGAAAUCUGGAAAUGGCCCAGUGGAGCGGGACUAACUGAAUCCAAGUUAUUGGCCCCAAACAUAGCCAGUAUCCUUAUGUUUGACAUGUGUAGUAUUAUAAGUAACAGCCAACCUACAGUGAAUCAUGUGGGAAUCUGUAUUGGGAACAAGAGUACAGGCUUAAUGAUCAGUACAUGUGUGAGGAGUUCUAGUUAUGUCUGGAUAUGCCACACAACACUGGUGUUACUGCCUCUGUUGGAGCUGUGGUUCAGGGACCAUCUGGAAGGAGAAAGAUAAAACAGCCCUCCUCCAAAGGAUAUUGCCACCACCAGCUACAAUUUGGGAACCCACAAUCCUGUUCAUUUUCCUAUCCUUGUUGUGUAACAGUUUUCUCUAAGAUUGAAACAUUUCACCCUGCAGGGAAGCUCCUUAACCAGGAAGGUAAACAACUCAACAUAGCUCCAGGAAGUCCCUGAAAUGGACCAGAUUUGCUAGGCCCCUCCCUCCUAGAGUCAGCAAUAAAGACUGCAGAGACUCUCAUAGAAGCCAAGUUGAAAAGAAGACUGAGACCA
Non-coding RNA from Peromyscus maniculatus bairdii (prairie deer mouse), 1316 nucleotides. NCBI's taxonomy places the organism in Eukaryota, Metazoa, Chordata, Mammalia, Rodentia, Cricetidae. The record is from RefSeq and is a predicted model, not a curated record.